UUUCUCGCUUUGGCCACCCGUCCCCUAUCCCCUUCCGCGCGAGACCCCUAUAAUAAGAAAAAUCAGCCACUCCACUCCGCACCUGCACUCGGCGCUCGCGUCGCUCCUCCGGUCCUCUCCCGCCGAUCGACAACGUCCCGAGCCGCCGUUCCUCCGAGGAAAUGGCUGCACUUCAACCCUCAUUUUCGUCAACAAUGGCUCUGAAGAGUAGCUGCAGUGGGCUGAAGUUCCCAAAAACUGCACUUCUACCUUGUUUUGGUGGCAUUUCACGUCAAGACAUUCAAGACAGGAAUGCUAGCCUCACUUAUUUAAUCCCCAAGGUUGCUUCAGUGACUGACCAAUCAACAUCAGAGCCAUCAAAACCCAGGCAAAGCAAGCACACAGUCGACCCUACUGCUCCAGAAUUUCUGCCACUCCCAUCAUUUGAAGAAUGCUUUCCAAGGAGUACCAAAGAAUCAAGUGAAAUCGUUCACGAGGAAUCUGGUCAUGUCCUCAAGGUUCCAUUCCGGAGAGUCCAUUUGACUGGAGAUCAGAAGCACUUUGAUACAUAUGACACCAGUGGUCCUCAAAAUAUAAGCCCAAGGAUUGGACUCCCAAAGAUAAGGAAGGAAUGGAUUGAUAGGAGGGAGAAGAUGGGUAGUCCUCGUUACACACAAAUGUAUUAUGCUAAACAUGGAAUCAUAACAGAGGAGAUGUUAUACUGUGCCAAGCGCGAGAACCUUAGUCCUGAAUUUGUUCGGACAGAAGUUGCCCGUGGACGGGCCAUAAUUCCUUCCAACAAGAGGCACCUGGAAUUGGAACCCAUGAUUGUUGGUAGAAACUUUCUUGUGAAGGUGAAUGCAAAUAUUGGGAACUCAGCUGUUCUGAGCUCCAUCGAGGAUGAAGUUCACAAGCUCCAGUGGGCCACAAUGUGGGGAGCUGAUACUGUCAUGGAUCUCUCAACAGGGAGACAUAUCCAUGAGACCCGGGAAUGGAUUAUUCGUAACUCUCCGGUUCCUAUUGGGACCGUUCCUAUUUACCAAGCACUUGAGAAAGUAAAUGGUAUUGCUGAAAAUCUGAGCUGGGAAAUCUUUAGGGAUACCUUGAUUGAACAAGCUGAGCAGGGUGUUGAUUACUUCACAAUCCAUGCUGGUGUCCUGCUUCGUUACAUUCCUCUUACAGCAAAGAGAAUGACUGGCAUAGUUUCACGUGGUGGCUCAAUUCAUGCAAAAUGGUGCUUAACUUAUCACAAGGAGAACUUUGCUUAUGAACACUGGGAUGAAAUUCUUGACAUAUGCAAUCAAUAUGAUGUGGCAUUAUCAAUUGGUGAUGGUUUGAGGCCCGGUUCUAUUUAUGACGCAAAUGAUAGUGCUCAGUUUGCAGAACUGCUGACUCAAGGUGAACUAACACGUCGAGCAUGGGCGAAAGAUGUGCAGGUGAUGAAUGAAGGUCCAGGGCACAUCCCAAUGCAUAAAAUUCCUGAAAACAUGGAAAAACAGCUGGAGUGGUGUAAUGAAGCACCUUUCUAUACGUUGGGUCCACUGACAACUGAUAUCGCACCUGGUUAUGACCACAUCACCUCAGCCAUUGGUGCGGCCAACAUUGGAGCUCUUGGCACUGCACUUCUUUGUUAUGUUACACCAAAGGAGCACCUUGGGUUGCCUAAUCGUGAUGAUGUUAAGACAGGUGUGAUAUCCUACAAAAUUGCUGCUCAUGCUGCUGAUUUGGCAAAGGGUCAUCCCUACGCACAAGCUUGGGAUGAUGCCCUUAGCAAGGCAAGGUUUGAGUUUAGAUGGCUCGACCAAUUUGCUCUAUCUCUGGAUCCAGUAACCGCCAUGGCUUUCCAUGAUGAAACAUUGCCAUCUGAGGGUGCCAAAGUAGCUCAUUUCUGCUCAAUGUGUGGGCCCAAGUUUUGUUCGAUGAAAAUCACAGAGGAUAUUAGAAAAUAUGCAGAUGAACAUGGUUACGGAACAGUAGAGGAAGCUGUGAAGGAAGGAAUGAAUGCUAUGAGUGCUGAAUUUUUGGCUGCAAGGAAAACAAUCAGUGGGGAACAGCAUGGUGAAGCUGGAGGGGAGAUCUACGUACCAGAAAGCUAUGCAGCUCAAAAAUAAGAUCUCCUCGGAGCCUUCCAAGUGAAGCAGAUUUGCUGGCUGGAGCCUUCGUCAGCAGCAAUUGUACCAUCUUAUGUUAGGAGAUGGGGUGCCUGCAUUCUCAACAAUGUGAAGGCUUCUUGGCCUUGACUGUUGUGAGAUGGGCUGAGAAAGUCCCUUUGAACCUGAACAGGAUAAUGCCUGCGAAGGGAGUGUGCAUUUCUUUUUUCUUGUUUUUCAGGAACCUGUCAGCCUUCUGGUGGAAAUUGAGGUACCAACUGUCCGUGCACAUAAAGAGCUCAGUAGAUGGGUCCGCCUGUGUCUUACAUCUGAGGUAACAUGGUUCCAUUCCAUGAUCCUUUUGCAUGAUUUCAUCAACCAGCUGUGUUACCGUUCCCAUAGAGAGUAAAGUGUGCCUCAUCAUGACACUCAACCCAUCAAUACACCCAUGAAAUUUUGUGAAGAAUUUGCUAUCCCUACAUAAUCUAUUUCGACAUCUGUCUAACUACAUUUAUUUACAUUAGGCGUAUAGAGCAAGAUAUUUAGAACUGCUACAGAUUGUUUUUUUAGCUGCAUUCUGCCCCUUGAGGGUGGAAGUACCAACCAGAAUUGCAAUUAACUUGAUCCUACCAUCGUAUUGUAGCCGUCUACUGAGAUAGGAGUUAUUUCUGUAAACAAACUUCUGCCCUUCUCAUCAGGAUGGUCAGAUAGUGUUAUCCAAAAUUUCACAAAAUCUUUUUAACAAAGAAUAUUGUAAAUAUCUCAUGUGAACAGUUUCAAAUUCCGCAUUAUGCAUGAUUGUUUACAACUGUAUGUGAAAGCAGAGGCAGGAUCUUAAAACAUCAAUAAAUUCAAAAUAGAAAUAGAUUGCAAGUCAUUGCAUUGGUGGAGAAUAAUUUUAUCAGUUUUACUUUCUAUGGAGUGCAUGUUUCUCAUGUAUCACUGCCUGCUUCACUUUUUACACUGAAUUAGUGAAUUAUACCUACGUUCAUAUAAUCCAACUGCCCUGGCUGCCGUGAGAUGCCAAGAAAAAUGUUUUGGGAAAGUAAACAUUUCUUUUGUGGCUGGAAAUUUGUGCUCGUUGUGGUACCACCAUACCAAUGAAACUAUGCUCAUUUACAAAUUGAAGAUGAACUCUGAUUGUGCUUCUACAAUGGAGUUUCAAAUCAUUCAGAGAUGAGCUGGGCAAAGGCACCCUGUUACUGUACUGUGAUAUUGGUGCUCAAGUUCUCAUGCCAUCCCUUAUAAGGGCUUCCCUAGCAAAUUUGAGAUGUUAACUGUUAUUAUAAACUUACAUUCUGAUUUAUGUGGAACUCUGUCUGACAUCUGAAUGUUCCCCCGAGUAUAAGUUUCGUUACGGAACAAGGAUACAUGCUGCUUUUCUGGUCGCUAUAUAUGCCUUCGGUACCGUUUUGUGUGCUAGUCCCUGAAGUCAACAAGAUUGACGUCCCGUUGUUGACUGGAGGUAGUAAUAUUUUGCUUUAUUGUUUCCGAAUACGAAAUAAAAGGAAAGGUAAAUAGGAACAGCUUUGUGAACUCUUGCUCGACAUAAAUGGAGGCUUCUUGCAAAAGUAUUUGGCGUUUCCAAGCUUCUAUAAUUUCAGGGUAUCACUUCUGAUCAGGGACUGUAUCGCUUGUGCGCAUUAGCCAACUGUUAAGAAAUUACAUAUUUUUCCUUC
Molecule: RNA transcript, 3748 nt
Organism: Setaria italica (foxtail millet)
Lineage: Eukaryota; Viridiplantae; Streptophyta; Magnoliopsida; Poales; Poaceae
Gene name: phosphomethylpyrimidine synthase, chloroplastic
Exons: 7
Source: RefSeq, a predicted model, not a curated record